Long non-coding RNA from Diprion similis, 146 nucleotides. RefSeq lists it as uncharacterized. NCBI's taxonomy places the organism in Eukaryota, Metazoa, Arthropoda, Insecta, Hymenoptera, Diprionidae. The transcript is spliced from 2 exons. The record is from RefSeq and is a predicted model, not a curated record.
GCUAGUCAGACACGGGGAUGCUCGCAAUGCCUCUAUCAAAGACGCGUCGUACUGUGUUGUUAUGUGUUGUAAUAGUUAUUUCAUUGAAAAAUUAAUUUCAUCGUUGAAAAAUCCAUAUUUUCGUCUCUAAAGGAACAAAAAAGAAA